UACGGAGGGUGCGAGCGUUGUCCGGAUUCAUUGGGCGUAAAGGGUGCGUAGGCGGUCGCGUAAGUCAGGUGUGAAAUCCCGGGGCUCAACCCCGGAACUGCACUUGAUACUGCGUGGCUAGGGUACUGGAGAGGAGACUGGAAUUUACGGUGUAGCAGUGAAAUGCGUAGAUAUCGUAAGGAAGACCAGUGGCGAAGGCGAGUCUCUGGACAGUUACCGACGCUGAGGCACGAAGGCCAGGGGAGCAAACGGG
RNAcentral lists this ribosomal RNA (253 nucleotides) under uncultured bacterium. RNAcentral describes it as "partial 16S ribosomal RNA". It matches the Rfam family "Bacterial small subunit ribosomal RNA", at positions 524 to 776 of the family's 1533-position model. The record is from RNAcentral.